AGUACUGCUCUGUUAGCAGCAGGAGCAAAUGAAAGAAUUCAGUGUCAGCAUUUUCUGUUUCUCAUCUGACAAACAAGGUCAGGUACUUCUUUGAACAACCCAGUUCCAAUAGCUGUGAAACAUAAAGAGACAAGCAGGGGAAGAUUUUCCAGAAAGGCUGGUGGCUAGGCACAAGCAAAUUACACCAUUAAUGUCAUCCUGGCGAAUGAAACAAGAGAAUAGUAUUUAUCAGAGAAAGUCUGGUGAGUUGAAGUCCAAGACCCCAGGAAACAACUAGCCCUGCUGGGCUGCCCCUCCUUCGGAGUGGGACUAUAUGAUCCUCAUCAGGCCAAUCCACGUCACAGAAUGGUCUAGGCAUUGGAUGAGUGCCUCAAUCUGAGCCAAUGAAGGUCAUUGCUGAGACAUUUUACUGGUUGCCAGGCUGCAGGCAUCCCAGGCUUCCUGCUGCCCUCAUGUCUACAACCUGUCGUCUGGAACAUUCCAGGAGCCACUUUUAUCACUUGCAGCAAUCUUCUUCAGUGAGUUCCCCAGGACUUGAUUUCAUCUUACAAUCUGAUUCCAUGUGUCUCCCAUAUUUUAAGGAUUCUUUAUUAUUUCUGGCUUACAGAGAACAAACAUUAUUUUUUGCUUUCCUGGUCUGUUCUAGAUUUUCAAAAAUAACUCUGUCACUUCUGUUAUAUGGUAUCAUUGCUUGUAAUUAUCUAUUUACUUAUCUGUCUCUGGACUGGACUCUUUACAGACAGGCAAUAACUAAUUAUCUGUCUGUCUGGCAUUUGGUAGUCACUCAUAAAUCGUUUAUUGCAUUACUAACUAAAUAAAAAAGUUGACCUUG
Molecule: long non-coding RNA, 832 nt
Filed under: Homo sapiens (human)
Lineage: Eukaryota; Metazoa; Chordata; Mammalia; Primates; Hominidae
Description: long independently transcribed non-coding RNA 2200 (LINC02200)
Source: RNAcentral